RNAcentral lists this transfer RNA (83 nucleotides) under Phycisphaeraceae bacterium. RNAcentral's name for it is "tRNA-Leu". It matches the Rfam family "tRNA". From Rfam's summary of the family: Transfer RNA (tRNA) molecules are approximately 80 nucleotides in length. Their secondary structure includes four short double-helical elements and three loops (D, anti-codon, and T loops). Further hydrogen bonds mediate the characteristic L-shaped molecular structure. tRNAs have two regions of fundamental functional importance: the anti-codon, which is responsible for specific mRNA codon recognition, and the 3' end, to which the tRNAs corresponding amino acid is attached (by aminoacyl-tRNA synthetases). tRNAs cope with the degeneracy of the genetic code in two manners: having more than one tRNA (with a specific anti-codon) for a particular amino acid; and 'wobble' base-pairing, i.e. permitting non-standard base-pairing at the 3rd anti-codon position. Lineage: Bacteria; Pseudomonadati; Planctomycetota; Phycisphaerae; Phycisphaerales; Phycisphaeraceae. The record is from RNAcentral.
GCCGGAGUGGCGGAAUGGCAGACGCGACGGAUUCAAAAUCCGUUUCUCGCAAGAGAGUGUGGGUUCAAGUCCCUCCUCCGGCA